Molecule: long non-coding RNA, 623 nt
Filed under: Phaseolus vulgaris (common bean)
Lineage: Eukaryota; Viridiplantae; Streptophyta; Magnoliopsida; Fabales; Fabaceae
Description: long non-coding RNA (PVUL_LNC001486)
Source: RNAcentral
CUUCAUUGGAAGCAUACCACACGAGAUAGACCUUUUAUCAAGCUUGACAUAUCUGGUGCUAUAUGGGAAUUACUUGUCUGGCUCAGUUCCUUCUUCAAUCUACAACAAAUCUUCAUUAUACUAUUUCACUUUUACUCAAAACCAUCUUCAUGGGAACUUACCAGAUGAUGUUGGAAUUACUCUUCCUACAUUCAAGUAUUUGUUGGUGCGGCCAACAAUCUCACAGGAUUUGUCCCUGCAUCAUUGUUAAAUGCUUCAAAACUAGAGAUUCUUGAUUUCUCCUUGAAUGGUCUCACUGGAGCACUGCCAACGAACUUAGGGGUCUUGAACAGGUUAACUAGACUUAGCUUUGAACACAGCAGACUGGGAACUGGGAAAACAGAUGAUGUUAGCUCACUGUUCUACAAGUUUUACGUCUAGGAGUAAAUAAUUUUGGUGGAGUAUUGCCUAAGGCAAUUGCUAAUUUCUCAAGCCAAAUGAACACAUUUGCCCUUAAUUCCAAUGGAAUACAUGGAAACAUACCUGUUGGAAUUGGCAAUCUUGAUAACCUGGCCCUCAUAGCUUUGGAAGGAAACCGUCUAACUGGUAGUCUUCCUGAUGCAUUGGGUAGGCUGAAAAAUCUG